AUUUAAGCUCAAAAAGAGAAAUGGCAAUUAGAUGUCAUUAGGAGCCUUCUGAGCAAAGUGGGUGUCUGUCUUCUUCUUAGUUCAACUUCCACCUUUGCCCAGCCCCACUUCUUUUAUCUCUCAUAUUUGUUGCUCCUGGAAUCUUUCUCAGCCAACUUCCCAUGAAAAGCAGAAUGUGUUUCCCAGAGAACCUACAGCACUUGGUACCGGGAGACUCCUAGACAGAAACGUCUGCCAUAGCCUGAGCCAGAUCUCACUGCAGCCAGGUGUCCCUCAGCACAUUAUUGAAGAGCUGACUUGGCGGAGGUCUCAGUAUAACAGAAGUGAAUACACUUGUCCAGCUGGAUUUCAGACUUGCUAUGAACCCAUGACUGCUAGGCACAAGGCAAGUAUUAAUUUAAAUUAUCUUGCU
This 412-nucleotide long non-coding RNA is filed under the name Chinchilla lanigera (long-tailed chinchilla). RNAcentral's name for it is "lncRNA (ENSCLAG00000027751.1)". The record is from RNAcentral. Lineage: Eukaryota; Metazoa; Chordata; Mammalia; Rodentia; Chinchillidae.